GAAGACUGCAAUUAUGCAUUGUAGGAGCAUUCUCUGAUAUACAAUGUUGGAAUGAAAUAGAGAUCGUUCUGAUUAUUGUGCUUCAAGCAAUCUCUUCUUCUCAAGUUACUCCCACCACAUGGCCUAGUCAACUGCUACUGAGCUGGGAACCAGAAGACCCUAGCAAGCAUCUGUCUAAGCUGUCAGUUUACUGAAUGAAACAUUUCAUCAUUCUGGCUAUAUCCAAAAUCAAACUGGUGGCAAAUAUCUGCCCUUGACUGAUGGGCGAGACCUCGCUGGAGAAGCCUGGAGAUUCCCGACCCUCCCAUCUAUUUGGUGAUUGCCUGAUAAAGUGGUAGAAAAGGCCAGAAAUACUUUCCUUAAAUUGGCACAAAUUUGUAGAACAAUUUAUAGUCCAGAACCCUUUCCUUGUCACUCUGCUGUCCACCAUCAGGUCAAGGCUGGCCUCAACUUGGGACCACAUCUUGACUUUGCUCUUCCCCCUGACUCUUUACAGGUUUGUCCUGAAGCACACUUCCUCAAUAAAUCAUGUACA
Molecule: long non-coding RNA, 535 nt
Filed under: Equus caballus (horse)
Lineage: Eukaryota; Metazoa; Chordata; Mammalia; Perissodactyla; Equidae
Description: lncRNA (ENSECAG00000055293.1)
Source: RNAcentral